UGAGCAGGUCGGGCGAUCGCCCCGGCAAGUCGGGGAGGAAAGUCCGGACUCCGCAGGGCAGUGUGCUGGCUAACNNNNNNNNNNNNNNNCGGUUGGGCCUCCCCAGGCAAUGCCGGGAGGGGUCGGGCCGGUACGGAAAGCGCCACAGAAAAUAUACCGCCCCGGCUUGCCGGGGUAAGGGUGAAAAGGUGCGGCCCGCAAGGGCUUAAUGUAAGAGCGCACCGCCCGGAUGGCGACAUCCGGGGCAGGGCAAACCCCACACGGAGCAAGACCAAAUAGGAGAAGAGGAGUGGCCCGCUCCGCAACCUCGUUCGGCAACGGGCGAGGGGUGACUCUCGGGUAGGUCGCUAGAGCUUGGGAGCAAUCCCAGGCCCAGAGGAAUGAUCGCCGCCCGGCUCCGGCUGGGCACAAAAUCCGGCUUAUAGGCCUGCUCACCCG
This 438-nucleotide RNase P RNA is filed under the name Acidobacteria bacterium RIFCSPLOWO2_02_FULL_59_13. Its description in RNAcentral is "RNase P RNA component class A". It matches the Rfam family "Bacterial RNase P class A". Rfam says of the family: Ribonuclease P (RNase P) is a ubiquitous endoribonuclease, found in archaea, bacteria and eukarya as well as chloroplasts and mitochondria. Its best characterised activity is the generation of mature 5'-ends of tRNAs by cleaving the 5'-leader elements of precursor-tRNAs. Cellular RNase Ps are ribonucleoproteins. Lineage: Bacteria; Pseudomonadati; Acidobacteriota. The record is from RNAcentral.